AAGGAGCGAUGUCCUUCCUGCCAAAUUAUCAGCAGGCUUUCAUACAAAGCUUCUAAAAACCUGCCAGUGACAUUGACAAAUUGUCACCACUUACUCCAUUACAGUAAUCCUCUGAAACGCAAAGCACUAAAAUUACUUGCUCCAGGUCACAAAGAAAUCAACUACACCUAAGAGCCCUGAACACCAAAGUUCUUCUCCCAGAAGAAAAGACAGCACCCGGGACCAUCAGGGGCUGCAAAGUCCCUUUCACAUCCAUUCGGGUCAACCGCUGAUUUAGGUCGGUGCUGCCAGAACCAGAAACGCUGGGAGCCAGAAAAGCGGCUAAGACCCACCACCAUCCCGGGGGCACCGUUAGAAAGAACCGCAAGUGUCACCACACGAGACACUCAAGACGGAGACACGCCCUGCCUGGAUUGCGGCAAAGGGUGAGUGUUAGAAAGGGGGGGUGGCCGUGAGGUUACGGACUAGGUGGGUCCUUCCUCUCCCGGCAGCAGGCGUUCGGCGUUCGAUUCCAGAGGACAAAGGGGGUGGGGGGUAGGGUCACCCUAGUGUUUCGGAUGCUUUAUAUCGGAAGGCGUCACUUACUGCCGAGAACUAGGCCGACGGCUGGGGACGAAGCUGCACGCACCCCAACGACGUGCUGAGCUCCAGACCCGGCAAUUAAGAAGAACGAGUGAUAAUGUUCAUUUGGCAGUUUCCUGGGGUUCUCCAUUGGUUGAAACCAACCAGAACCAGAUGGUAGGAGAGUAAGCCUGUGGAUAUAGUCUACUGUGUUCCUCACGGUCCAGCACAGGAUACAGAGUAGAUCUGGGGAACAGAGGACAUGCAGCAAAGUUCCACCAUCCAUCUAUAACCACUAGCAACAUUUUAGAGUUUCUCCACCCAGAUAUUCUUUUAUAUAUAAAAAUAUGUUUGUGUUUGCUGUUUCUUGACUUUCUUCUUUCCCCAAGGAAACUGGGACACUUCCAUAUAUUCCGUAUCACAAAAUCAGAGAACUGAAAGGGACCUUAGCAUUAUCUACUUAAAGGGUGGGUCUAGGUGU
Long non-coding RNA from Felis catus (domestic cat), 1042 nucleotides. RefSeq lists it as uncharacterized. The transcript is spliced from 3 exons. NCBI's taxonomy places the organism in Eukaryota, Metazoa, Chordata, Mammalia, Carnivora, Felidae. The record is from RefSeq and is a predicted model, not a curated record.